RNAcentral lists this ribosomal RNA (253 nucleotides) under uncultured bacterium. Its description in RNAcentral is "partial 16S ribosomal RNA". It matches the Rfam family "Bacterial small subunit ribosomal RNA", at positions 524 to 776 of the family's 1533-position model. The record is from RNAcentral.
UACGAAGGGGGCUAGCGUUGUUCGGAAUUACUGGGCGUAAAGCGCGCGCAGGCGGUCUUCCAAGUCAGUGGUGAAAGCCCGGAGCUCAACUCCGGAACUGCCAUUGAAACUGUGAGACUUGAGUACGAGAGAGGUGAGUGGAAUUCCCAGUGUAGAGGUGAAAUUCGUAGAUAUUGGGAAGAACACCGGUGGCGAAGGCGGCUCACUGGCUCGUAACUGACGCUCAGGCGCGACAGCGUGGGGAGCAAACAGG